UGCCACCAUGAAGGCUCCUCAGCGACCCAACACAUUAACCUGACACUCCCUCAUCAUGGCUCAUCAGACUGACCUCAACAAGGUGGGAAGAGAAGCAUUCGGCUUGCUCGAGGAGUACCUGCGCAGGAGAGGACCACCACCACCACCACCGCGUAGCAACACACACCAGUACUACAACUACGCUCCCCCAAAGAACGUGCUGCACAACGUCAGAGAUCCUAAGGAAUUUGAUGGAGUUCUAAUUGUCACCCGCAGGGUUCCCUGGCGAAACCAUGAUACUUACGGUACGUACCUAAGAAAGAUGGAGGAGCUCCAGUAUAGGUAGGUAGCUUCAGCGAGGAAGUGAUCAGCAUGUAUGGUGUGCUAAAAGCAGUGUACCGCUCUUCAGAGAAUGCUCAAAUGAAGUGUAAUAAAUAAAUACUACUUUUAUGAUAUGUAAAGACCAUUUUAGCUUCUGGUAAAUGCAUAUAAUUAAUCUUAUUUAA
Non-coding RNA from Musa acuminata subsp. malaccensis (wild Malaysian banana), 485 nucleotides. NCBI's taxonomy places the organism in Eukaryota, Viridiplantae, Streptophyta, Magnoliopsida, Zingiberales, Musaceae. The record is from RefSeq and is a predicted model, not a curated record.